RNAcentral lists this ribosomal RNA (197 nucleotides) under uncultured bacterium. RNAcentral describes it as "partial 16S ribosomal RNA". It matches the Rfam family "Bacterial small subunit ribosomal RNA", at positions 328 to 539 of the family's 1533-position model. The record is from RNAcentral.
ACGCUCGACACCUACGGGAGGCGCAGUGGGGAAUAUUGCACAAUGGGGGAAACCCUGAUGCAGCGACGCCGCGUGAAGGAAGAAGUAUUUCGGUAUGUAAACUUCUAUCAGCAGGGAAGAAACUGACGGUACCUGACUAAGAAGCACCGGCUAAAUACGUGCCAGCAGCCGCGGUAAUCUGAGCGGGCUGGCAAGGC